This is a long non-coding RNA of Hemicordylus capensis (graceful crag lizard), 1362 nucleotides long. RefSeq lists it as uncharacterized. NCBI's taxonomy places the organism in Eukaryota, Metazoa, Chordata, Lepidosauria, Squamata, Cordylidae. The record is from RefSeq and is a predicted model, not a curated record. The transcript is spliced from 5 exons.
CGCAGCUGCAGCCUUCCAGCAUGUACAUGCCCGCGGGCCGGGCGCUCUGCUCGCUCUCGAAGUAGAAGAGCAUGUUCUGGUAGAGGGCAAACCACUUGUCAUGCCAUCGGCUCGUCUCCGCCGUCUUCUUGCUCAGGAUAACUUCUCAAUUUGGACUGCUUGAAAGUGAAUUCCCUGAAUUAUAUAUACCUUCAUCUUCAACUGCUCUUGAUCUCUUGUGAAUGAUAUGAGAAAGAGAGACAGCAGUAUGUCAUCAGGCAAGGGCAGAGCUGAGAAUAGAAUCCAGAUUGAUGGCAAGUCAACCCAUGUAUGUCAGCAUGGCUGUUCGAAACUUGGUUCUGGAUCAGUCCAUUACGUCCAGGACAGAAAGGCGACUGGCGUAGAGAAUGUGCAAGAUCUGAAAUCUGCUUUGCACGAUCUUCUGUUUUUGAUCAAAAGGUCCUAAAAAUUAACGUUGGCCAUCUGGAUUUCAAUGCCAUCUGGAAGAUCAGAUUAAGGCAAGUAGAUUUUAAUCAAAUUAUAAAUUACAACAAACCAGCAGCCAAAGAUGUGAUCAUUAGUUCAAACUAACAUGACACUCACCCUGUAUCAUCUACUCUUUCCACUAGCUAAGCUCCCUUGCUUGUUUAAUUCCCAGUGUCCUAACAGCACAGUUUUUCCUAAUCACUUGAUAUUGUGUGAAGUUCUAUGGCAACCUUACCAAUUUCUCUUAUCAAUUCAAUUCCAGCACCACUAUCUCUCCCUCAACUUCUUCCCUACUGCCUACUCAAUAGUCUUGUUCUAGGUGGCUCAUGGAAAAUUAAAUAUAUAAUUAAAAGGUAGUUCUCCAAAUACAUCAUUUAUAAUCAAAUAUACUAUGUCCUUUAUUUUUCUUGAAUUUUAAUUAUAACUUCACUGUGACAAGAGAUAGCAGAGUGCAACAAGCUCUACUGUUCCCAGCCUCUCUCAACAAUGCAUUGGAAAAGGACACAGGGCUUUUUAAUGCAAAUUCUUUGCAGCACUAUAUUUAAUUUGCUUCCUGGUGGGCUAGAACAACUUGCUUGAAUAUAAUUAUCUUAUGUACUUGUUUUUUAUUCUAAUUUUUGCUGGAGUCUUAUGAAGAAUAUAUAAAUAGGAGUGGGGGCUAUGAGUAACACUUGACGGUCUGGGGAGUCUGCUGGUGCAAAAAAAAUUUAAGAAUGCUUAAUCCAAAAGUGUGAAGCCAGCAUCCAUGCCAGUUUGGAGUCUGACACGUUGAGUGGUCUUAAGGUGCCGUUCCAUCCAUGUGAGCCUCAAUGGAACUAAAGGGAAAGGCCAUCAGUCUUUGGAUUGAAGACCAGACCCAGAAGAAAGUGCCAGAGAGGAACAGCAAUCCACAAGAAA